UACGGAGGGUGCGAGCGUUGUCCGGAAUCACUGGGCGUAAAGGGCGCGUAGGCGGCCUGAUAAGUAGGGGGUGAAAUCCUGCGGCUUAACCGCAGGGCUGCCUUCUAAACUGUCAGGCUAGAGCACAGUAGAGGCAGGUGGAAUUCCCGGUGUAGCGGUGGAAUGCGUAGAUAUCGGAAGGAACAUCGGUGGCGAAGGCGACUUUCUGGACAAAUACUGACACUGAGGCACGAAAGCAUGGGGAGCAAACAGG
Molecule: ribosomal RNA, 253 nt
Filed under: uncultured bacterium
Lineage: Bacteria
Description: partial 16S ribosomal RNA
Rfam family: Bacterial small subunit ribosomal RNA
Source: RNAcentral